This 506-nucleotide ribosomal RNA is filed under the name uncultured bacterium. RNAcentral describes it as "partial 16S ribosomal RNA". It matches the Rfam family "Bacterial small subunit ribosomal RNA", at positions 29 to 523 of the family's 1533-position model. The record is from RNAcentral.
AGUGAACGCUGGCGGUAGGCCUAACACAUGCAAGUCGAACGGCAGCACAGAGGAGCUUGCUCCUUGGGUGGCGAGUGGCGGACGGGUGAGGAAUACAUCGGAAUCUACUCUGUCGUGGGGGAUAACGUAGGGAAACUUACGCUAAUACCGCAUACGACCUACGGGUGAAAGCAGGGGAUCUUCGGACCUUGCGCGAUUGAAUGAGCCGAUGGCGGAUUAGCUAGUUGGCGGGGUAAAGGCCCACCAAGGCGACGAUCCGUAGCUGGUCUGAGAGGAUGAUCAGCCACACUGGAACUGAGGCACGGUCCAGACUCCUACGGGAGGCAGCAGUGGGGAAUAUUGGACAAUGGGCGCAAGCCUGAUCCAGCCAUACCGCGUGGGUGAAGAAGGCCUUCGGGUUGUAAAGCCCUUUUGUUGGGAAAGAAAUCCAUCUGGUUAAUACCCGGGUGGGAUGACGGUACCCAAAGAAUAAGCACCGGCUAACUUCGUGCCAGCAGCCGCCGUAA